Molecule: ribosomal RNA, 253 nt
Filed under: uncultured bacterium
Lineage: Bacteria
Description: partial 16S ribosomal RNA
Rfam family: Bacterial small subunit ribosomal RNA
Source: RNAcentral
UACGAAGGGUGCAAGCGUUACUCGGAAUUACUGGGCGUAAAGCGUGCGUAGGUGGUUUGUUAAGUCUGAUGUGAAAGCCCUGGGCUCAACCUGGGAAUUGCAUUGGAUACUGGCGAGCUAGAGUGCGGUAGAGGAUGGCGGAAUUCCCGGUGUAGCAGUGAAAUGCGUAGAGAUCGGGAGGAACAUCUGUGGCGAAGGCGGCCAUCUGGACCAGCACUGACACUGAGGCACGAAAGCGUGGGGAGCAAACAGG